AAGUUGUUGAAGGCCAUAGGCGGUUCCUUGGGUUCAAGAAGACAAUUUUACUGGACAGGGGGCUUUUGGUUGAUCUGAUAGACAGGUUCAACAAUGGAUCACUGAGUUGGGAUGAGUUCUCUUAUGCUGUGAAAGAAUCACAUGCAAAUCGGAUGGGGAACCCAGUAAAUAGGUUGGUGAUUCCAGACAGGCCAAAAGAGGAGGAUUACUUCUAUUCCAACCCAGAAGAGUGCUUACUGUCUUCAGAGGAUCCCUUGGAUCCUUUGAGUAGCACGUGACAAAUAUUUAGGAGAUUGUGAUGUUUAUUCUACCACAGAUCAAAGGUUAGUUCGCUACGCAGGAGUAACAGUGAUAAAGGAAGAUUUUGCAAUGAAGAGGCAAUCAAGAAGAUAAUAUGUGGGUGGUGAACUUGAAGAAAGCCGAAAAUGAUCUAUGGGAGCGUUUUUAGGACGUUGUCAUCGUUAAGUAUAUGCCAAUAAUCCAAUUCAUGUAUAGAAGCUACCCUGCCAUUACAGGGUGAUGUCAAAUCAACAAAAUCGGAUUGUACACAAAGGGAUGCAAAUAUAGAUGUUGUGGUUUACCAGAAAUGUGGCCUCAAUGAAGGUUACUUCAUCAUCCUUCUGCUUUGUACUUUUUUUUUUCCUUGGUUCGUUUAAGAUAUUGUGAGUUUCUAGCAAAUAUCAAAUUUUAGAAAUUUCUGUUCCAGUAUUACUGAAAUGGAUGUUUACCCCUCUCUCUCUCUCUCUCCUUUUUUCUUUCCUUGCAUGAAAUCUCAAUAAUACUUUAAACUUGAACAAUACCCACUUCUGAAGAUACUUUUAAGUCCAUGGCACAACUGAAAUGCAACUAAUGAUUGAAAACAAACCACUAGCAAUUUUGGACACGACCCGCGAA
RNAcentral lists this unclassified non-coding RNA (894 nucleotides) under Hevea brasiliensis (rubber tree). The record is from RNAcentral. Lineage: Eukaryota; Viridiplantae; Streptophyta; Magnoliopsida; Malpighiales; Euphorbiaceae.